CGGAGGUGCAAGCGUUAUCCGGAUUUAUUGGGUUUAAAGGGUCCGUAGGCGGACUUAUAAGUCAGUGGUGAAAUCCUGUCGCUUAACGAUAGAACUGCCAUUGAUACUGUAAGUCUUGAGUAUAUUUGAGGUAGCUGGAAUAAGUAGUGUAGCGGUGAAAUGCAUAGAUAUUACUUAGAACACCAAUUGCGAAGGCAGGUUACCAAGAUAUAACUGACGCUGAGGGACGAAAGCGUGGGUAGCGAACAGGAUU
This 253-nucleotide ribosomal RNA is filed under the name uncultured bacterium. RNAcentral describes it as "partial 16S ribosomal RNA". It matches the Rfam family "Bacterial small subunit ribosomal RNA", at positions 527 to 779 of the family's 1533-position model. The record is from RNAcentral.